UGAAGGGUGUGUGGUGGAUGCCUUGACUCUUGAGAGCGAUGAAGGACGCAGCGUGUCUGCGAAAAGUUCCGGGGAGCUGACGAGCAAGCCUCGAUCCGGAAGUCUCCGAAUGGGGAAACCCGCCGUACUUCGUACGGCAUCUUCAACGGGUGUUGAAGGAGCUCACCUCGGGAAGUGAAACAUCUCAGUACCGAGAGGAAAAGAAACCAACAGGACAUCUCGGUCUCUCUGCCGAUGCAAGUCGGCCGAGGGACCGGGAUUCUGGUAUUCCCUGAAUAGCGGCGAGCGAAAGGGGAGAAGCCCAAACCGUCUCGAGCAAUCGACGCGGGGUUGUAAGGCGAGCGUGUUCCAUUUAUGGAAGGAGAGUGAGCAAUCGUGUUCGUAGCGGAACCUGCUGGGAAGCAGGACCCUAGAGGGUAACGGUCCCGUACGCGAAAUGAAUACGACUCUCUUGCGUUCGUUCUUGAGUAAUCCGAGACACGAAUAGCUUGGAUGAAUCCGCCGGAACUAACCGGCAAGGCUAAAUAUCUCAAGAGAUCGAUAGUGAACCAGUACCGUGAGGGAAAGGUGAAAAGCAGCCCGGUGAGGGCGGUGAAAUAGUUCUGAAACCACACAUCUACAAGGAGUCGAAGAGGUGCUCGCACCUCGACGGCGUGCCUAUUGAAGAAUGAGCCGGCGAGUUUACGCAUGCGGCAUGGCUAAGGGCCUCGAAGCCCGGAGCCGAAGGGAAACCGAGUGUGAAUAGCGCGACUAAGUCGCUUGCGUAAGACCCGAAGCCAGGUGAGCUUGCCAUGAGCAGGGUGAAGUUUGCCGAAAGGCAGAUGGAGGCCCGAACCCGUUCGUCGUACAACGCGUUGGGAUGACUUGUGGUAAGGAGUGAAAAGCUUAUCGAACCUGGUAAUAGCUGGUUCUCUCCGAAACAGCUUUUGGGCUGGCGUCUGAUGUUCCUCCUGGGGGUAGAGCACUGGAAGGGUCAAAUAGGGAGCAAUCUCGUUGACCCUAUCAAACUCCGAAUACCAGCGAGCAAGAAUCAGGCAGUUAGACGAUGGGGGCUAAGCUCCAUACGUCGAGAAGGGAAGAGCCUAGAUCUCAAGUUAAGGUCCCUAAAUUCGUGCUGAGUGCAACUUAAGGAAGUGAAGGUUCUAAGACAGUGAGGAUGUUGGCUUAGAAGCAGCCACCAUUUAAAGAAAGCGUAACAGCUCACUCAUCGAGAACUUUUGCGCCGAAGAUAAUCGGGGCUAAGCACGAUACCGAAACUGAGGGAUUGUUUCCGCUUCGGCAGAAACGAUCGGUAGGAGAGCGUUCCAAACCGCGAUGAAGGAUAAGGGGUGACCCACUCUGGAGCGUUUGGAAGUGAGAAUGCCGGCACAAGUAACCACAAUGCGGGUGAGAACCCCGCACGCCGAAAGACCGAGGUUUCCUUGGCACUGAUGAUCAGCCAAGGGUUAGCCGGGCCUAAGCAAAUGGCGAAAGCCGCAUGCGAUGGACACAGGGUUAAUAUUCCCUGGCCUCGCGCUGGUGCGAUGGAGAGACGGAGGGCUGUACCUGCCGCGCAUGAUUGGAUGUGCGUCAGUGCCGUGAGGACGUGCCGUAGGAAAAUCCGCGGUGCACAAUCCGAGCGGAGCCGGAAUUGCCUGGUUCGCCAGGCGAGACGGCAGGGAGCGCGCUUCCCAGAAAAUCUUCUAAGCUUCAACCAGCGAGAGUCCGUACCGCAAACCGACACAGGUGGUCUGGUCGAGAAGACCAAGGCGAACGAGUGAGAGGUCCUCAAGGAACUCGGCAAAAUAGCGGCCGUAACUUAGGGAUAAGGCCUGCCCUUUCUCCUUCGGGAGGCGGGGCCGCAGCGAAAGAUUCCCAACCGACUGUUUACCAAAAACACAGCUCCCUGCGAACUCGUAAGAGGAGGUAUAGGGGGUGACACCUGACCAAUGCCAGAAGGUCAACUACGGGUGGUGCUAUUCAGCAAUGGGUAGUGCUGGCUUGUAUAAGCCCUGGUCAAUGUCGGCGAUAACUAUAAUCGUCCUAAGGUAGCGUAAUUCCUUGUCUGGUAAGUUCAGACGUGCACGAAUGGUGUAACGAGUUGGGAACUGUCUCGAGGACUUGCUCGGUGAAAAUACAGUACCGGUGAAGAUGCCGGUUACUCAUAGUUAGACGAAAAGACCCCAGAAGCUUUACUGCAGCUUCGUAUUGGGAUUGCGACUCGUCUGCGUAGCAUAGACGGGAGAGGUUGAAGCGGUGCUCUUGGGUGCCGUGGACUCGCCAGUGAAAUACCGUUCUUACGCGUUGCAAUUUCUAACCUCGGGAAAAACACCCGGGAGACAGUGCGUGGCAGGCAGUUUGAGUGGGGCGCUCUCCUCCCAAAAAGUAACGGAGGAGCCUACAAAGGUCAGCUAGGCGCGAAUGGAAACCGUGCCGGUCGUGUAAUGGCACAAGCUGGCUUAACUGCGAGACGUACUUGUCGAGCAGACACGAAAGUGGAGCAUAGUGAUCCGACCUUAUGCAUUAGAUGCAGGGGAAGCCCAACGGAUAAAAGUUACUCUGGGGAUAACAGGCUAGUUCCGCCUAAGCGUCCAUAGCGACGGCGGAGUUCGGCACCUCGAUGUCGGCUCACCACAUCCCGGAGCUGGAGAAGGUUCCAAGGGUAUGGCUGUUCGCCAUUUAAAGUGGUACGCGAGCUGGGUUCAGACCGUUCAGUUGCUGAAGCGAUUCGGCGCUUGAGCAGUCUGAACCCCAUCGAAGAAGUGUUGUCCGAAAUUGUUAAAAGGUUUUUUCGUCGAACAAAAGGAAAAGAAACCGACCAAUCACGGCGGUCGCAUGCAGGAAUGCAUGCGGACAAUUCAACUGAUAUCGGAAA
RNAcentral lists this ribosomal RNA (2854 nucleotides) under metagenome. Its description in RNAcentral is "bacterial LSU rRNA". It matches the Rfam family "Bacterial large subunit ribosomal RNA". The record is from RNAcentral.